This 468-nucleotide ribosomal RNA is filed under the name uncultured bacterium. RNAcentral's name for it is "partial 16S ribosomal RNA". It matches the Rfam family "Bacterial small subunit ribosomal RNA", at positions 28 to 507 of the family's 1533-position model. The record is from RNAcentral.
GACGAACGCUGGCGGCGUGCUUAACACAUGCAAGUCGAACGGAAAGGCCCUGCUUUUGUGGGGUGCUCGAGUGGCGAACGGGUGAGUAACACGUGAGUAACCUGCCCUUGACUUUGGGAUAACUUCAGGAAACUGGGGCUAAUACCGGAUAGGAGCUCCUGCUGCAUGGUGGGGGUUGGAAAGUUUCGGCGGUUGGGGAUGGACUCGCGGCUUAUCAGCUUGUUGGUGGGGUAGUGGCUUACCAAGGCUUUGACGGGUAGCCGGCCUGAGAGGGUGACCGGCCACAUUGGGACUGCGGUACGGCCCAGACUGCUACGGGAGGCAGCAGUGGGGAGUAUUGCACAAUGGGCGGAAGCCUGAUGCAGCAACGCCGCGUGCGGGAUGACGGCCUUCGGGUUGUAAACCGCUUUCGCCUGUGACGAAGCGUGAGUGACGGUAAUGGGUAAAGAAGCACCGGCUAACUACGUG